UACGGGGGGGGCAAGCGUUGUUCGGAAUUACUGGGCGUAAAGGGCGCGUAGGCGGCCCUCUAAGUCGGACGUGAAAUCCCUCGGCUCAACCGAGGAACUGCGUCCGAUACUGGAGGGCUUGAAUCCGGGAGAGGGAUGUGGAAUUCCAGGUGUAGCGGUGAAAUGCGUAGAUAUCUGGAGGAACACCGGUGGCGAAGGCGGCAUCCUGGACCGGUAUUGACGCUGAGGCGCGAAAGCUAGGGGAGCAAACGGG
This 253-nucleotide ribosomal RNA is filed under the name uncultured bacterium. RNAcentral's name for it is "partial 16S ribosomal RNA". It matches the Rfam family "Bacterial small subunit ribosomal RNA", at positions 524 to 776 of the family's 1533-position model. The record is from RNAcentral.